RNAcentral lists this long non-coding RNA (507 nucleotides) under Sus scrofa (pig). RNAcentral's name for it is "lncRNA (ENSSSCG00070009801.1)". Lineage: Eukaryota; Metazoa; Chordata; Mammalia; Artiodactyla; Suidae. The record is from RNAcentral.
GUUAGAGCUUGAAGGACGGCGGCGGCAGCGGCGGCGGCGGCGGCGGCGGGCGCAGCCCCGGAACGGCGGCCAGACAAGCAGUGGAAGUGCCUUGGUGACCCGUGUCCUGCCCUCUGCCUGGACGCACCCUCUUCCUCUGGGCCCUGAGAUGAGGAUGUGACGCCUGUGACCCCCCCAGGGAGGAAUCCCCCAGCCCCGGCCUCUCAGACGUGCCAGGGCAUGGGCGGGCCCUGAGCCAGAGCAGGACCGGCUGGAGCUGGCGCACACCGAGGCCGAUGGGGAGGGAGGCCGCGGUCCCGGCAGGACGCAGGUGGACGGCGAGAGGCCGCUGGCUGUGAGCGAGGCGCUCCCGCAGCCCCCGCACGGUGCGGCCAUGCGGUUUGGGACAGGACACCCCUGAGAGCGCCGACGCCCCCUCCUCCCGCCCCUCUGUCCCUUCAGGGGCUGCUGCCGCCCAGCGCCCCCCCCUGCCCCCGACCCCGUCCCCCCGGGCAGGCUGAGCGGGGG